UACACCACUUGCAAACUCUAUGCCACAACGAUUGCACUGAGCAUUUGCUGUUCAUUGUUUGCCAUUCAUAAUGUAUGAUUGGUCAUCUUGGUCACAUGUUAGAGGUUCUGCUCUCAGAGUAAAUGGUUGCCAAUCAAGAUUGCUUCAGAGUAAACCUGGAUAGAACAUCAAGGCUAACUUGUUGCGGGGCAGGCUGCUACUGUAUACCCUACUGAGCAACAAGAGCAAAGCCAGCCUCUGAAAACUUGCUGCUGCUUUGAAAAAUAUUCAUCUUCUCCUUCUGGCCUAUGAGUCCCACUAAGUGCAUUUGGUCUGUUAUAUUUUGACCAAGGGUGGACUUCUAGAGAGAGUGAAUUUGAAAUCCUCGCAUUCUUGAAAUGAGGACCAGCACAGUCUGAAUCCUAAGUAAUACAAAGUAUGACGAAAGAAUCUCUUCACACUGUUAUAACAGUUUGGUUUUGUGUAAUUCCUUUUAUACACCAGGCAUUCAACAUACAGGUAAAAGAUAUUGUAGUGGUUUACUGACACGGUAAGCAAACACAGAGCCAUUCCAGGAGGAGAUAUGCCCCUCCCCUGAAGCAAGGGAAUGAAAUGGGUUGUAGGGGUGAGGAAAAAAAGAAAGUUGGCCAUCGUGUACAGGGCCCCAUUUCCAGAGGUACUGAGUACCUGCAUUUCCCAUUGACUUCAGUCAGAAUGCAACAGUUGGGUUCUGAAGUUAUUUCCAGCUCUU
This is a long non-coding RNA of Gavialis gangeticus (Gharial), 730 nucleotides long. RefSeq lists it as uncharacterized. The record is from RefSeq and is a predicted model, not a curated record. The transcript is spliced from 4 exons. Lineage: Eukaryota; Metazoa; Chordata; Crocodylia; Gavialidae.